CCACCACUAAGCCAGUGGUGAACUCCACAUACGCAUCCUUUGCUGAGGAUACGGUUAACGGAGCGAAAGCGACGUUCAACCUCAAAAGAAGCAGAGGGGGCUUAGUGGUGGGGUGACUGCGUACCUUUUGUAUAAUGGGUCAGCGACUUAUAUUCUGUAGCAAGGUUAACCGAAUAGGGGAGCCGGAGGGAAACCGAGUCUUAAUUGGGCGUUAAGUUGCAGGGUAUAGACCCGAAACCCGGUGAUCUAGCCAUGGGCAGGUUGAAGGUUGGGUAACACUAACUGGAGGACCGAACCGACUAAUGUUGAAAAAUUAGCGGAUGACCUGUGGCUGGGGGUGAAAGGCCAAUCAAACCGGGAGAUAGCUGGUUCUCCCCGAAAGCUAUUUAGGUAGCGCCUCGUGAAUUCAUCUCCGGGGGUAGAGCACUGUUUCGGCUAGGGGGUCAUCCCGACUUACCAACCCGAUGCAAACUGCGAAUACCGGAGAAUGUUAUCACGGGAGACACACGGCGGGUGCUAACGUCCGUCGUGAAGAGGGAAACAACCCAGACCGCCAGCUAAGGUCCCAAAGUCAUGGUUAAGUGGGAAACGAUGUGGGAAGGCCCAGACAGCCAGGAUGUUGGCUUAGAAGCAGCCAUCAUUUAAAGAAAGCGUAAUAGCUCACUGGUCGAGUCGGCCUGCGCGGAAGAUGUAACGGGGCUAAACCAUGCACCGAAGCUGCGGCAGCGACACUGUGUGUUGUUGGGUAGGGGAGCGUUCUGUAAGCCGUUGAAGGUGUGUCGUGAGGCAUGCUGGAGGUAUCAGAAGUGCGAAUGCUGACAUAAGUAACGAUAAUGCGGGUGAAAAACCCGCACGCCGGAAGACCAAGGGUUCCUGUCCAACGUUAAUCGGGGCAGGGUGAGUCGACCCCUAAGGCGAGGCCGAAAGGCGUAGUCGAUGGGAAACGGGUUAAUAUUCCCGUACUUGGUGUUACUGCGAAGGGGGGACGGAGAAGGCUAUGUUGGCCGGGCGACGGUUGUCCCGGUUUAAGCGUGUAGGUGUGUGUUCCAGGUAAAUCCGGUUCACUUUAACACUGAGGCGUGAUGACGAGGCACUACGGUACUGAAGCAACAAAUGCCCUGCUUCCAGGAAAAGCCUCUAAGCAUCAGGUAACAUCAAAUCGUACCCCAAACCGACACAGGUGGUCAGGUAGAGAAUACCAAGGCGCUUGAGAGAACUCGGGUGAAGGAACUAGGCAAAAUGGUGCCGUAACUUCGGGAGAAGGCACGCUG
Molecule: ribosomal RNA, 1271 nt
Filed under: Salmonella enterica
Lineage: Bacteria; Pseudomonadati; Pseudomonadota; Gammaproteobacteria; Enterobacterales; Enterobacteriaceae
Description: partial 23S ribosomal RNA
Rfam family: Bacterial large subunit ribosomal RNA
Source: RNAcentral